AUUGAACGCUGUCGGCAUGCCUAACACAUGCAAGUCGAACGAGUGGCGGACGGGUGAGUAAUGUCUGGGAAACUGCCUGAUGGAGGGGGAUAACUCCUGGCAACGGUAGCUAAUACCUCAUACCCUCUGAUGUGCCCAGAUGGGAUUAGCUUGUUGGUGGGGUAACGGCUCACCAAGGCGACGCUCCCUAGCUGGUCUGAGAGGAUGACCAGCCACACUGGAAAUGAGACACGGUCCAGACUCCUACGGGAGGCAGCAGUGGGGAAUAUUGCACAAUGGGCGCAAGCCUGAUGCAGCCAUGCCGCGUGUAUGAAGAAGGCCUUCGGGUGGUAAAGUACUGUCAGCGAGGAGGCGUUACUCGAAGAAGAAGCACCGGCUAACUCCGUGCCAGCAGCCGCGGUAAUUC
Molecule: ribosomal RNA, 406 nt
Filed under: uncultured bacterium
Lineage: Bacteria
Description: partial 16S ribosomal RNA
Rfam family: Bacterial small subunit ribosomal RNA
Source: RNAcentral